This 443-nucleotide ribosomal RNA is filed under the name Peribacillus frigoritolerans. RNAcentral's name for it is "[Brevibacterium] frigoritolerans partial 23S ribosomal RNA". It matches the Rfam family "Bacterial large subunit ribosomal RNA", at positions 1 to 436 of the family's 2925-position model. The record is from RNAcentral. Lineage: Bacteria; Bacillati; Bacillota; Bacilli; Caryophanales; Bacillaceae.
CGGUUAAGUUAGAAAGGGCGCACGGUGGAUGCCUUGGCACUAGGAGCCGAUGAAGGACGGGACUAACACCGAUAUGCUUCGGGGAGCUGUAAGUAAGCUUUGAUCCGGAGAUUUCCGAAUGGGGAAACCCACUGUUCGUAAUGGAACAGUAUCUUUACCUGAAUACAUAGGGUACUGAAGGCAGACCCGGGGAACUGAAACAUCUAAGUACCCGGAGGAAGAGAAAGCAAACGCGAUUUCCUGAGUAGCGGCGAGCGAAACGGAAUUAGCCCAAACCAAGAGGCUUGCCUCUUGGGGUUGUAGGACACUCAACAUGGAGUUACAAAGGAACGGGGUAAAUGAAGCGACCUGGAAAGGUCCGUCGAAGAAGGUAAAAACCCUGUAGUUGAAACUUCGUUCCCUCCUGAGUGGAUCCUGAGUACGGCGGGACACGAGAAAUCCCG